Molecule: ribosomal RNA, 265 nt
Filed under: uncultured archaeon
Lineage: Archaea
Description: partial 16S ribosomal RNA
Rfam family: Archaeal small subunit ribosomal RNA
Source: RNAcentral
AGUCACUGACAUUAGAUACCCCCGUAGUCCCAGCCCUAAACGAUGCGCGUUAGGUGUAUCGGUGACCACGAGUCACCGAGGUGCCGAAGGGAAACCGUGAAACGUGCCGCCUGGGAAGUACGGUCGCAAGGCUGAAACUUAAAGGAAUUGGCGGGGGAGCACAACAACGGGUGGAGCUUGCGGUUUAAUUGGAUUCAACGCCGGAAAUCUUACCGGGACCGACAGCAACAUGAAGGCCAAGCUGAAGACUUUGCCGGAUUAGCUG